CCGGGUCUGGCUCUUCUAGUUGUGGGAAUCUAGACUGCGUCCAGGAAGGAGGCGGGCGAUAUGGUUUUAGUUGCCACUCCUUGGGCCUGCCAGGGAGCACAAUUUCUGAGUUUCAUAGAUAUUUUCAAAGCGAUAUGAACCGUUCGCCAGCUGCACCUUAAGUGGCCCCAGUGAUCCCUAGUGGGCGCUUGAAACUUUUGCUAGACGCUUUGGCAGUUCGUAAAGAAACCGUGUGCGCGGUAGCCAAGCCACAGCCUUGGAGAGCCCCAUUACUGUAUGAGAGAGCGGCUUUUCCCGAGAAAUUAGGUUAGGGUUAAAGGGAUGAGCCGCAACCUUUUUUGUCCUGUGUCUAUGUCUGUCCUGGGCUCAGCCUGCUUCCACCCGGCCUCACUGUAAGGCGGUCAGGAGCGGCUGGAGGCUGCAUCUGGCCGUCUAGCUUGUGCUCCGUCCAUCCCGCGCACUUUGCACCCACAGGCAAGGUGGUGAGGAGUAAGUUCAUUGCACCAAAAAGGCCCAUCUACACUGAAGAACUUUCAGGGGAAUUUUGACUCACAAAUUCAAUGACUUUACAUUAGGAUGAGAAAUAUUUCAGAGAGUGCACAAUUAAUGUUCGUGUCAAUUGUGAAACAAUUUUCGCAAAAAUUUUAUCCGCCUUGAAGCAGCUAGCAAAAUUAUUUGUAAAAUGAAGUCUCAAAAACUUUGUUCCAGACAUACUUUGCUAUUUAAUUAUAUGAGAAGUGCCUGAGUGUGUUGCUUUUCUAUUGUUCUGUAACGAAUUACUACAAAUUAAUGGUUUAAAAUAUCACCCAUUUGGUAUCGUAGUCGUGUAGGUCCGGAGUUGGUAUGGUAUAGCCGAGUGCUCUGCUUAAGGGUCUCACACUGUUGAAGUAAAGGCGUCUGCAAGUGGAAUCUCAUUGAAGAUCUGGGUUUCUCUUCCAAGCCCCUGGCUGUUAGCAGAAUUAAUGUCCUUGUGUUUCUUAGUCUGAGGUUCUCCUUGUUUUGCUAGUUGUUGGCCAGAGGCUUUUGCCAAAUAGCUCUUCUAUAAGCUUUCUCAUACAGUCUCUGACUUCAUGGAGAUCCCUUUUAAGGAUUCAUCUAUGUGUUUAAAUCACCAACUUUUCACUCUUUCCACCAGGAACUUAGAGUCAGAAUUCUGGCAUAAGACUGGUAGAGCAUGAUGCCCACCUUACUACGAAUAAAAAUUGUCUGUCUUUCUAAGGAAUUUUAUAUUAAUACUCAGCACUUCAGGAAAAUUUCAUGGAAGAGCCCAAGACAUUUUCAAAUUGGAGAACCGAUUGGAUGAAUGAGUUUGAAUUCCAGAAAAAGAAAUGGGAACAACCAGUUAGCAUUCUUCAUGCCACUAAAGAAUCUUCCUUCCAAAUUAUGUGGAAGGAAAAGAUAUUUCUGGAAUUGGAUUUACUAUACUGAGGCUUUCUCAAAUAUGGUUGUUUCUUACCACUGGUACAUCUUAUACUAAACUUAGCUACAAAAAAGCACAUGUCACUGUGAUCCCAAUUAUAUGCUAUCAAUGAAUGGUGUUGUGUAAGGGCUCACAUUUUGAGGAACAUUUCUAAAGAUUUCCUGAGGCCUCUGAAGAGAUCUGAAGAUCUACAACCACCAAAAAUGGGCUGAUAUAUUUUGGAGAUUACAGCACGGUAGUGAACAGCUUUGGGUAUUGAAAGAUGGAGUUCGACUACCAGCUCUGUCAUUUACCAGCUUAGUGGCCGCAGGGGCUGAUUCAACUAUAUUUCCAAAAGAGACCAAUGAUUGAUUCAGCUUCUGGCCCCAUUGGAUACUUGAACAGCGGAUGAGAAAAUUUCUAUUCUCUUCUGGAUUCUAGCCAGAAACAGGAUCUCUGUCUGACCUCCAGGCUGGGGCCUUCCUGGUCACCUUGGUUAAAAUCUAACUACUUGUUUUGACCUCAUGCUGGGCAGAGAGUACUUGCGACCCCUUGAUGUUCGACUUGGACAUGUGACUUACUUUGGCAAUAGAAUCAUGGCAGACACAAUGCAAAUAGAAGCAUGGAACACACUUAGGUUACUGGGUUUGCCUAAUUGCGUUUCUGCCACUCCCAUGAGAGGCACAUCGUCCACUAGACUGCUGAUCCAGGGAAGAUGAGAAAUGUGGAGCAUAUGUGAGCCCAGCACAGAGCAGAGCCCCACCCUGCCAGAUCUGCAGCUUGAAGCAGAGCUACCUACCUGUGCCCACUCCAGAUCAGCCAAUACUCACCCAACCCAGUGAGAAAGAAAGGCCAUAUGAAAACACAACGGAAAGAGAGCUGUCUACAAGCCAACAAGAGAGGUCUCAUUAGAAACCAACCUUGAUGUCACUCUGAUCUUGCACUGCUAGCCUCGGGAACUAAGAGAAACCCAAACACAGCAGCCCAAGGAUAUGUCAGAGGCAUAUACUUAUGUUUUCCCAUCUAUCAUAUCAGGCUGUCCAGGUGGUUUGCUGCUCUGUGGUGCUGAGGAUUCAGAGAUGAAUCAGGCUUGACCUCAAAGACACAGAUCACUAGGCAUCCAUUUUCAAGACUGUAUGAUGAAACCAUCUUGUGGGACACCUGGGCAACUUGACUUCCCUGUGUGACGGAACUGUGCUGUAUAUUUGAGUUUACUGCUUCAGAGAAUAUUUAGUCGCUAAAUUCUUGCUGAAGUGUGUCAACAUUAAGUGAUGAUUCAGAAUACACAGCCACCAUAAUGUAUAUAGAAUUAUGAUGCCUCUGAUCUGAGAAGUAGAGGUAUAUAAGUGGUAAAAUUGUAUCCAAUGUGUUUGAAAUUUAUAAAGUUGUUUCAAGUCAUUUAAUAUUUUAAAAAGUAAUUUUCUUUAAUUCUUCUGUUGAGUUAAAGAUUAAAGUUCAUAUUUUACAAUAAAUAUUACUCUGUUUUUGUUCACUGAUAUCUCUUGUAGUAGUUUUAUCAAGUUUAUGAAUUAAUACUUUCAGAAAUGCUAUAUAAUUCUUCUUUCUUUGCAAGGUAUUUUUUGACCUCUAAGACCACUUUUUUUUUUGCCUUUCCUGAAAACACAAAACAUAUUACUAAGACACAGAUGGGAAAUUAUUGCAUGAUUCUUAGCUAGAUCCUCAAAGAAUCUCCUACUUUCCAUCUCCAUUUAUUUACAUUUUGCAGAGGAAACAUGAAACAAGUAUAAUAUUCAUCUGAUCAUUUCAUACUGAUGCAUGAGGCAAACUUUCAGAAAGGUCAGCUGGGAAAAAAAAAGGAAUUAAAAAAUAGUUUAACAAAAAUGUGCUGAAGAAGUAGGGAAAUAUUAGAAUGUCAGUGAAAGGGAUAUGAUCAUGAAGUGUCACAAACUAUUAAUUUUGAAACAUAAUAUUUAGGCACUUUCUGUUUUGUUAUUGGUGUGAGAAAAUCCAUUCCAUUGGAGAUAUAAAAUUUAACAGCCUUUUGGACACUUUGAAAAUCAGAUCCAAGUGUUUGUGUGAAUACGUGUCUGUGUGUUUUGGGAGAAGUUGUGAAGAAUAGUUUCAAUCACAUGAUCUCCAUUUUAAUUUUAUCCACAUGACCUGGGAUCCUACAGGGACCCCUUAAGAAGAGAGAAGUAGGUUAGUGCAGGGGUCAGAGCGAGAUCAAAGGACAACAGGCCAUCUUUAAAAGAAAAUAAAACAGGAAAAUAACAAUCUGGAACCAAGUGUUCAAGUGCUUUGAUAGUGACACCUACUUCAAUGAAAGCCUUCUGUGAAUCUGUGAUCCACGUUUUAUAAAAACCUACAAAUAUACUUGCAUAUUAAAAACAAUCAGUUACCCAUCAGGAUGUGCAACAAUACAAAAAAUUGCUCUAGUACUUUAAAAAAGAGUCAUGAUGAGAUCUGUUUUCCAGAGACUUAGCUUAUUUGGAAGAAAUAUUACCUCAAGUGCAACUUAUACUUUUGGAGACAAAGAUGAACUAUAACAUUGUUCCUGGAGCUUACAUUUUAUUUUAUUUUUUUUAUUAAAAAUUUAUUUAAUGUUUAUUUAUUUUUCAGAGACUGAGAGAGACAG
This is a long non-coding RNA of Felis catus (domestic cat), 3995 nucleotides long. RefSeq lists it as uncharacterized. The transcript has 12 exons. NCBI's taxonomy places the organism in Eukaryota, Metazoa, Chordata, Mammalia, Carnivora, Felidae. The record is from RefSeq and is a predicted model, not a curated record.